This is a small nucleolar RNA of Panthera pardus (leopard), 132 nucleotides long. NCBI's taxonomy places the organism in Eukaryota, Metazoa, Chordata, Mammalia, Carnivora, Felidae. The record is from Ensembl.
CGCCCCAGUGCUAGCUCCUUUUUAGAGCUCUUUAAAAAAAAACAAUCUUUUUGUGGCUACCUUGAGACACUGGUUAUACUUCCCAUCACAGUUAAGUUUACUGCAGUAGUGACCAUGAGACCUGUAGCAUUU